AUUGAACGCUGGCGGCAUGCCUUACACAUGCAAGUCGAACGGCAGCACGGGAGCAAUCCUGGUGGCGAGUGGCGAACGGGUGAGUAAUAUAUCGGAACGUGCCCAGUCGUGGGGAUAACGUAGCGAAAGCUACGCUAAUACCGCAUACGAUCUAUGGAUGAAAGCGGGGGAUCGCAAGACCUCGCGCGAUGGAGCGGCCGAUAUCAGAUUAGGUAGUUGGUGAGGUAAAGGCUCACCAAGCCGACGAUCUGUAGCUGGUCUGAGAGGACGACCAGCCACACUGGGACUGAGACACGGCCCAGACUCCUACGGGAGGCAGCAGGUGGGGAAUUUUUGGGAACAAGUGGGCGCAAGCCUGAUCCAGCAAUGCCGCGUGCAGGAUGAAGGCCUUCGGGUU
RNAcentral lists this ribosomal RNA (397 nucleotides) under uncultured bacterium. Its description in RNAcentral is "bacterial SSU rRNA". It matches the Rfam family "Bacterial small subunit ribosomal RNA", at positions 30 to 424 of the family's 1533-position model. The record is from RNAcentral.